UUUGGUCAGUUGUAAUUCUCUCCUACUUACUUUUUCUUAUGUAUGCAUCCAUUACUGUUUCUUAUGCAUGCAUCUAUGUGGUACUUUUUUUUUUAAUGUCAGUGCAUGUAUCUGUGUACUUGCUUGCUAUGUACCAGCUAGAAAACUUACUUUUUAGGAUUACAUACAUUAAGAUUCCAUUUUUUAAAUGAAUCUAUUGAAUUUAAUAUUGAAAGUUGUGUUAUAAAUGUUGUCUUUAUCUUGAAACUACUGAAGUUCAGCCACCUGAUGUUGAUGGCCAUGGCCCAUGGUUGCCUACAUGUCUGGCAUUAUGCUUCUCUAGCUUAUUUGAGUGAUGGAAUGAGUUAUGGUUUGGUAUAUUCUUGAGCCUCAGCUGAGCUGAGCAUAGCUCUUCAAUGUUCAAUGAAAGUUCAUUGCCACUUGCAUCCUUAUGAUGCCAGUAGCUAGUUUGGUCGAGAAGAUUGAAUUCAUAAUUUUUAGGAUUUUUGAAAUGACAAAAGGAGAAAACAACACAGAAUGCUGACCAACAUUUGCAGUCAUUGUUCUAGGUUGUUUCCAUUGUCUUAUUUGUGGACAAUAACAGUUUUCCUCAUUUUCAAAGUUUAUACAUGUAUGCUAAUUUUGACAACAUUUUCAUUGUUCAAUUGCCUAUUUCUUUUAAUUGAUCUCAAGUUGGGUUGAUAAGGGGGCCCAGCCUUCAUCAGUUAUCCAGUCAUUUCCUGGUCACUGAUGACCAUUGCUAUCCAUUUAUCAUGACUGCUGCUUAUAAGAAAUCACUACUACUUGCAACAGCUCUGCACUAGUGAGAGCCAUGUUUGUCGCCUCUAUGACAUUUGAGGUUGGCUGGGAGAAGCCCAAGGAGAGAAAGAAAAAGGGUUAGGGUGUUCUAAUGUAUUUAUUUUCGCUUGAAUUUUAGGCGGCCAAUGCUUAAUAUUGAGGAGCAAAAUAGACUGUAUUUUCAUUUUUAACAAUCUGUUUGACAUGCAUAUCAUCAAACAACUGGGAUAGAUGGGACAGCAGUAACUGUGGACUUUAUUGUUCACUUACAUUUUGAUUAUUGUAUGCGACUGAUGUUAGCAGGUGGAACUUGAUUCUGUCAAAAU
This 1103-nucleotide unclassified non-coding RNA is filed under the name Hevea brasiliensis (rubber tree). The record is from RNAcentral. Lineage: Eukaryota; Viridiplantae; Streptophyta; Magnoliopsida; Malpighiales; Euphorbiaceae.